This 232-nucleotide long non-coding RNA is filed under the name Mytilus galloprovincialis (Mediterranean mussel). The record is from RNAcentral. Lineage: Eukaryota; Metazoa; Mollusca; Bivalvia; Mytilida; Mytilidae.
CCCGAUUUUCCCCUUUAUUUUAAAAGUUAAGGGGUUGCUCCUUUAAAAAAGUCAUUUUGGAUGAUUUGCAGUAAUUUAAAGAUGUCUCGAUUAUGCAUUAAAAACGCAGACUCGCCAUCAGCGUGCUUACAGACGAAGAAAAACAAUUUCGAUGUUAAGGAUCACUACAUUUCUAUCUUUUCUAUUUGUUUCAAAUGGUAUUUUUUCUCCAAGGAGUAUUUGGCAAAGAGAG